This 433-nucleotide ribosomal RNA is filed under the name uncultured bacterium. RNAcentral's name for it is "partial 16S ribosomal RNA". It matches the Rfam family "Bacterial small subunit ribosomal RNA", at positions 29 to 507 of the family's 1533-position model. The record is from RNAcentral.
AGCGAACGCUGGCGGCAGGCCUAACACAUGCAAGUCGAACGAACUCUUCGGAGUUAGUGGCGGACGGGUGAGUAACACGUGGGAACGUGCCUUUAGGUUCGGAAUAACUCAGGGAAACUUGCGCUAAUACCGAAUGUGCCCUUCGGGGGAAAGAUUUAUCGCCUUUAGAGCGGCCCGCGUCUGAUUAGCUAGUUGGUGAGGUAAAGGCUCACCAAGGCGACGAUCAGUAGCUGGUCUGAGAGGAUGAUCAGCCACAUUGGGACUGAGACACGGCCCAAACUCCUACGGGAGGCAGCAGUGGGGAAUCUUGCGCAAUGGGCGAAAGCCUGACGCAGCCAUGCCGCGUGAAUGAUGAAGGUCUUAGGAUUGUAAAAUUCUUUCACCGGGGACGAUAAUGACGGUACCCGGAGAAGAAGCCCCGGCUAACUUCGUG